This 448-nucleotide ribosomal RNA is filed under the name uncultured bacterium. RNAcentral's name for it is "bacterial SSU rRNA". It matches the Rfam family "Bacterial small subunit ribosomal RNA", at positions 328 to 792 of the family's 1533-position model. The record is from RNAcentral.
CGGCCAGACUCCUACGGGAGGCAGCAGUGGGGAAUAUUGCACAAUGGGGGGAACCCUGAUGCAGCGACGCCGCGUGGGUGAAGGAGUAUUUCGGUAUGUAAAGCCCUAUCAGCAGGGAAGAACAAUGACGGUACCUGACUAAGAAGCACCGGCUAAAUACGUGCCAGCAACCGCGGUAAUACGUAUGGUGCAAGCGUUGUCCGGAUUUACUGGGUGUAAAGGGCGUGCAGCCGGGCUGACAAGUCAGAUGUGAAAUCCCGCGGCUCAACCGCGGAACUGCAUUUGAAACUGUCAGUCUUGAGUACCGGAGAGGUCAUCGGAAUUCCUUGUGUAGCGGUGAAAUGCGUAGAUAUAAGGAAGAACACCAGUGGCGAAGGCGGAUGACUGGACGGCAACUGACGGUGAGGCGCGAAAGCGUGGGGAGCAAACAGGAUUAGAUACCCCCGUA